UACAGAGGGUGCGAGCGUUAAUCGGAAUUACUGGGCGUAAAGCGUGCGUAGACGGUUAUUUAAGUCGGAUGUGAAAGCCCCGGGCUCAACCUGGGAAUUGCAUUCGAGACUGAAUAGCUAGGGUACGGUAGAGGGAAGCGGAAUUUCCGGUGUAGCGGUGAAAUGCGUAGAUAUCGGGAGGAACAUCAGUGGCGAAGGCGGCCUUCUGGUCCAGUACUGACACUCAAGUGCGAAAGCGUGGGGAGCAAACAGG
RNAcentral lists this ribosomal RNA (253 nucleotides) under uncultured bacterium. Its description in RNAcentral is "partial 16S ribosomal RNA". It matches the Rfam family "Bacterial small subunit ribosomal RNA", at positions 524 to 776 of the family's 1533-position model. The record is from RNAcentral.